RNAcentral lists this long non-coding RNA (398 nucleotides) under Mytilus galloprovincialis (Mediterranean mussel). The record is from RNAcentral. Lineage: Eukaryota; Metazoa; Mollusca; Bivalvia; Mytilida; Mytilidae.
UGUUUAUAUACGUCUUCAAACAUCUUAUAUUAGAAAACCCAGAAUUUUCAUGAUCAUUUGAUUUUCAUAUCUUAUUGUUUAAUUUAAAAUCUUGCAAUUAUUGUCAACUUUUUUACAUAUAUAAAGAAAGGCGUUAUAAAAAAGGAGAUUCGAUAUGAUUGCCAAUGAGACAGCUCUCCACAAGAAACCAAAUGACACAGAAAUUAACAACUACAUGUCACUGUACGGCCUUCAACAAUGAGCAAAGCCCACACAGUUUUGACUCUAUAUUAAGUAAUAAUCUUACAAUCUAUGCUUUCUAAGAAAAGACCAUAGAUAUAAUUAUUCUAAAAUUCACGUAAAUGUGCUUUUCCCAAUCCUUUGAUACCGAUAUUGAAUUAUAAAAAUGAAAACAAGAU